CCCUUAGAUGUUCUGGGCCGCACGCGUGCUACACUGAGUGGAUCAGCGGGUCAGGUUGCGCGAAAGUGUUUCCUAAUCUUUAAAUCCGCUCGUGAUGGGGAUUGACGGUUGCAAUUUUCCGUCAUGAACGAGGAAUACCUUGUAAGCGCGGGUCAUCAUCCCGCGCUGAAUACGUCCCUGCCCUUUGUACACACCGCCCGUCGCUCCUACCGAUUGAGUGGUCCGGUGAGGCUUUGGGAUCUGGGCGGAAAGAGCGUUUCGCUGUUUCUGCCCGGAAAACUCAGUCGAACUUUAUCAUUUAGAGGAAGGAGAAGUCGUAACA
RNAcentral lists this ribosomal RNA (322 nucleotides) under uncultured eukaryote. RNAcentral describes it as "partial 18S ribosomal RNA". It matches the Rfam family "Eukaryotic small subunit ribosomal RNA", at positions 1470 to 1796 of the family's 1831-position model. The record is from RNAcentral.